This 250-nucleotide long non-coding RNA is filed under the name Lathyrus oleraceus (garden pea). Its description in RNAcentral is "Pisum sativum (pea) long non-coding RNA (PSAT_LNC007238)". Lineage: Eukaryota; Viridiplantae; Streptophyta; Magnoliopsida; Fabales; Fabaceae. The record is from RNAcentral.
AUUCAAAUGACAUAAGCAAAAUACAUUGACCAAAUGUAAAUGGAAUCAACAUCAAUCAAUGGUAAACAGAAGUGAGAUGAAGUUUAGAAGUCAAGAAAGAAAUAAAAUAUUUUUGGUAUUUUUUGGAAUUAAAAUAAUACUUGAAUUAAAAUAAACAAAUAAAGGUCAAACUUCAAAUCCAUUUCAAAUCAUCUUGAAAAAGUCCAAAUGGAUCAUCCUAAGUUCAACAAGGUCAAACAAGGUUUGACAA